GGGGCCUUUGCUUUUUGCUCUCCAGAGUUUGGGAUCCGUCUCUACUGUUCCGCAUUCUACACCUCGGGAGCCUCCGGUGACUCUGUCACAGCCUCUGUUAACCUGUGAUCUACAGGGAGACGCACAGCAAAAUGCCAGGACGUCCUGGAACAUGGGAAAGGAGAAGAUUGUGACAUCACUGGACCCAGCAAUUAGAAGAUGUUUCUCUCCUGCCUGAGCCUUGCCCACAGGAACCGUGUGACAUAUCCUUGGGCUCAGCACCCAGAUUCUACCCGCAAAAAACCUGACAUAUCACUAGGCCCAUCAGCAAAGUUAUUUUGCCUGGCCCUGCCCUUAAAAGACAUUGUGACAUAUUGCAGUGCCCAGAACCAAUGUAAUUUUUUUUUUUUUUGAGACGGAGUCUCGCUCUGCCGCCC
Rhinopithecus roxellana (golden snub-nosed monkey) is the source of this 416-nucleotide long non-coding RNA. RefSeq lists it as uncharacterized. NCBI's taxonomy places the organism in Eukaryota, Metazoa, Chordata, Mammalia, Primates, Cercopithecidae. The transcript is spliced from 3 exons. The record is from RefSeq and is a predicted model, not a curated record.